AGAGUUUGAUCAUGGCUCAGAACGAACGCUGGCGGCAUGCCUAACACAUGCAAGUCGAACGAAGCCUUCGGGCUUAGUGGCGCACGGGUGCGUAACGCGUGGGAAUCUGCCCUUGGGUGCGGAAUAACAGUUAGAAAUGACUGCUAAUACCGCAUAAUGACUUCGGUCCAAAGAUCUAUCGCCCAGGGAUGAGCCCGCGUAGGAUUAGCUUGUUGGUGAGGUAAGAGCUCACCAAGGCGACGAUCCUUAGCUGGUCUGAGAGGAUGAUCAGCCACACUGGGACUGAGACACGGCCCAGACUCCUACGGGAGGCAGCAGUGGGGAAUAUUGGACAAUGGGCGAAAGCCUGAUCCAGCAAUGCCGCGUGAGUGAUGAAGGCCUUAGGGUUGUAAAGCUCUUUUACCCGGGAUGAUAAUGACAGUACCGGGAGAAUAAGCCCCGGCUAACUCCGUGCCAGCAGCCGCGGUAAUUC
Molecule: ribosomal RNA, 472 nt
Filed under: uncultured bacterium
Lineage: Bacteria
Description: bacterial SSU rRNA
Rfam family: Bacterial small subunit ribosomal RNA
Source: RNAcentral